UACAGAGGGGGCAAGCGUUGUUCGGAAUUACUGGGCGUAAAGGGCGCGUAGGCGGUUCGAUAAGUCCCGUGUGAAAGCCCCCGGCUCAACUGGGGAACUGCACGGGAAACUGACGGACUUGAGUUCGGGAGAGGGAAGCGGAAUUCCGGGUGUAGCGGUGAAAUGCGUAGAUAUCAGGAGGAACACCAACGGCGAAGGCAGCACUCUGGGCCGGUACUGACGCUGAGGAGCGAAAGCGUGGGGAGCAAACAGG
Molecule: ribosomal RNA, 253 nt
Filed under: uncultured bacterium
Lineage: Bacteria
Description: partial 16S ribosomal RNA
Rfam family: Bacterial small subunit ribosomal RNA
Source: RNAcentral